GGUUGUUGCCAGUAUACAAAUAUCCAUGAUUUUCAUGAUGUUAAUUAAUUUAGAAUUUAAAAUAAAAAUUUGAUUUAAUAAGUUAGGAAGUUGCUAGAACAUGGUUAGAAAAUCAGGUGGAAUUUUACACACUAGAUAUUUUAGUCAUUUGAAAUUUAUUACAGCAAACGAUUGCUGAGGUUGUCGUUCUAUUUGGUAUCCCCAAGCCUCCCAAGGUCGUUAGGAUUUUGAGAUCAUUUCCUCCACACUUGUUAGCUGGCUCCGGUACAGGUCGUAGGCCUCCAGUGGCUACUUUAUGAUAUCGCGGAUCAUCUAUGAUGUGAAGCAGGAAUCCAAAUUAUGGAGCAGCAAGAGUCCUUUUCUGCAGGGCCUCAAGGGUCCUCAGAAUUGUAUUUUCACCAUGAACUUCUCCUGAUGGUUUAUGUGGCGGGAAGGGUUUGUCAGAGCUGCGAAUGAUGAGGCUUCUCAAGUUCCAGCUGGUAAGCAAUCCAGAAUAUUAAUUAUUCAUAUGAUAAGGUUAGGCCACAUUUCCAUUGUCUAAUGAAGGUUUUUUUUUCUAUUUCAGCUGACUGGGAUUUAUCAGAUUUAAUUGAUUUAUCAGAUUUAUCAGAUUUAAUUUAUUUUAGAUUUUAAAUUUAAUUUGUGAUUUAAUUUCGAGCUCUUCAAAAUUGUUUUCAAGAUCUCAAGAUUUGAGUUUCAUACAGUUUCUUCAAAUUGAAUGUUUCACCCGAAGGGGGCUUCGGUGAAGAGGAUGCUUGCCGCAGGCUGAAGCUUUGGUUGCGGAGGUGCUCUUUUGAAUGACUGCGCCUGGGGCGACCACUUCGGCUCACUGAAGGAUGGCUUGCAUGUGCAGCGGUAACUUCUGGCUUGAAGGUUGGUGGCAUUUCUCUUACCUGGAAGCAAAUGCUAAGUUUAGGUAAAUUUGGUUUCUAUCAUGUAUGUUGGCACUGAUACUUAGGGACUAACCAGUUUUAGGCAAUGCUUGUAAAUCACUCAGAACCAUAUUUGCACGGCCCAGCUCUAUCGUCUGGCAAUGUUAUUUUAGUUAAGGUGCUAAGCUUAAGCUUUUAUUGCUGAUUUACAAGUUGUACUUUGCAUUGUGUCCAUUUAGAGAAAUAAAACUGUGUGUCACAA
Leguminivora glycinivorella is the source of this 1134-nucleotide long non-coding RNA. RefSeq lists it as uncharacterized. The transcript is spliced from 2 exons. NCBI's taxonomy places the organism in Eukaryota, Metazoa, Arthropoda, Insecta, Lepidoptera, Tortricidae. The record is from RefSeq and is a predicted model, not a curated record.